Molecule: ribosomal RNA, 254 nt
Filed under: uncultured bacterium
Lineage: Bacteria
Description: partial 16S ribosomal RNA
Rfam family: Bacterial small subunit ribosomal RNA
Source: RNAcentral
UACGUAGGGUGCGAGCGUUGUCCGGAAUUAUUGGGCGUAAAGAGCUCGUAGGCGGUCUGUCGCGUCGAUCGUGAAAACUUGGGGCUUAACCCUGAGCUUGCGGUCGAUACGGGCAUGACUGGAGUUCGGCAGGGGAGACUGGAAUUCCUGGUGUAGCGGUGAAAUGCGCAGAUAUCAGGAGGAACACCGGUGGCGAAGGCGGGUCUCUGGGACGGUACUGACGCUGAGACGCGAAAGCGUGGGGAGCGAACAGG